AUUGAACGCUGGCGGCAGGCCUAACACAUGCAAGUCGAGCGGAUGAAGGGAGCUUGCGCCUGGAUUCAGCGGCGGACGGGUGAGUAAUGCCUAGGAAUCUGCCUGGUAGUGGGGGAUAACGUCCGGAAACGGGCGCUAAUACCGCAUACGUCCUGAGUGAGAAAGUGGGGGAUCUUAGGACCUCACGCUAUCUGAUGAGCCUAGGUCGGAUUAGCUAGUUGGUGGGGUAAAGGCCUACCAAGGCGACGAUCCGUAACUGGUCUGAGAGGAUGAUCAGUCACACUGGAACUGAGACACGGUCCAGACUCCUACGGGAGGCAGCAGUGGGGAAUAUUGGACAAUGGGCGAAAGCCUGAUCCAGCCAUGCCGCGUGUGUGAAGAAGGUCUUCGGAUUGUAAAGCACUUUAAGUUGGGAGGAAGGGCAGUAAGUUAAUACCUUGCUGUUUUGACGUUACCAACAGAAUAAGCACCGGCUAACUUCGUG
This 484-nucleotide ribosomal RNA is filed under the name uncultured bacterium. RNAcentral's name for it is "partial 16S ribosomal RNA". It matches the Rfam family "Bacterial small subunit ribosomal RNA", at positions 30 to 507 of the family's 1533-position model. The record is from RNAcentral.